Molecule: transfer-messenger RNA, 372 nt
Filed under: Chitinophagaceae
Lineage: Bacteria; Pseudomonadati; Bacteroidota; Chitinophagia; Chitinophagales
Also listed under: 1 other name
Description: CW01 sp017304675 Standard tmRNA
Rfam family: transfer-messenger RNA
About the family: Bacterial tmRNA, also known as 10Sa RNA or SsrA, is named for its dual tRNA and mRNA-like properties. Its role is to liberate the mRNA from a stalled ribosome.
Source: RNAcentral
GGGGCUGUAUUGGUUUUGACAGCAUAGGUUACGGUAGGUGUAAGCAUGCAGUGCGUUGGAUAAUUAGCACUUUAAUCUGAAUAUUCAAACAUUAAUUGGCAAUACUCAGUAUGCCAUGGCUGCUUAAUCAGCGAUUAACCAGUCAUUCGGGCCGCCGAACAGGUUAGCUUGUUACCAAGUUCCGCCGCCGACUCAAAACAAAACAAGAUGCUGUUGUUAAAGGCUGUGCUAACAACAAAAGACUAUGCAGCUAAGCAUUGUGUUGGUUUGUUCAUUUCCUGCAUAGUGCCGACAAUUAAUAAUGAAAUAAGCAUGUAGAAAGCUUGCGGUAAAUAUGUUUGGACAGCGGUUCGAGUCCGCUCAGCUCCACAU